GAAAGCUUCAUUCUCAGUUUUCAGCUCCGUCUGACAGCAGCUCUAAGACACUGCAACUGGGGACUCCAUGCUGCUCAGCAUUAUUUGGAAGCCCAGCAAACCAAUCCUAUUGCUGUCAGGGAGGAAUUGGGAAGCGGAGAAUACAAAAGAAAAUCCAUGGUUUAAUCUUUCAGAAAAAAAAUUCUUCACAUUUUGAAAUCUAUCCAGUAGAUGUCAGAAUGAUACCCUACCCAUCAGGAAUUGAAACCAAGCAUGUGCCUUGGAGAGGAAUGCCUCUCUAAGUGAUGCUAUUAUGCUCUCUGUGACAAAGCCUUUUCUGUCAGUCCAAACAGCUUCUGGGUGCGCAGUGGAGUGACCCAGACUGUGAUCGCAGGGGACGCGGGGCUGGCCCUGCGCACCGCGGCGGGGAAGACAGCCCACAGGACUCGGAAGCUUGGAGAACAGAGCCCCGGCCUCAUCCCAUUUUCCGGAGUUUGAGGUGACCAUUUACCUGCUCAAGGGGAAUGUUGGGGAGAGCAACAAAUGCUUAUAAAACGGUGCAGUGAUGCAGACUGCUCUACUGCUGAUGGCGUUAUUGGCGGAGCCUUUCUUUGUGCUCAGACAUACAAAUAUGAUUAGAAAAGGUUCCAGGGACCAGCUUUACUUGCCAUCCAACUCGGUUAAGAUUUUGAUAAUUAAGCAAAUGUAUAAACUUAUCAUGUAGGUUUGAUUUAGAUAUGAGUAUAUAUUAGCAAUACAUUAGAAGUCUUUUCUAGAACAUGAGACAACAUUUAGUUUUAAAAAUCUUUUUGAAACAUAUUAAUGCUGACCAUUAUAAUGCACUCUAAUGCAAAGGAAUCAAUAGCCUUUACACCACAGUUAGUUUAUUGUACACAGCCAAUGAAUAAUACAAAAUUCAGUGCACUUAACAGCCCCAUAUUGGACUUCACAAUUUGUAUAAAUCAGAAUGCUUUUUGCAUUUCCUGAAAGAUAGUACCACAAGUUGUACUUGAAACAGAAACCUACUAUUUAUUCUUUAACCAAUUAAUUGUUUUUUUCUUAAAUAAAACAUUUGCAAUCAAUUUUCAUCUUUUUAUAAAACAUCUGCCUCUUCAAAUAUUUGCUAUGAACCAGGUUCCUGAAUUUGUUGCUAGAACGCAAUGGAAUUGUUCAUACUGUAAAUCUGAAUUACAGGAAUUACACCGUUAUUUACAGGGAAAGCUACCUCAGAAUAUAUUUCAUAUUGCUCUUGCAGGUAGUAAUUAAUAUGUGCUACAAUAAUAGCAAGAGUCUCAAGUCAAAUCAAGGCCCCUGCUGACUGGAACAAGAGAAAGAAAGUCUGUUUUAUUCUCCAGUUCUUCACUAUGCAUUUGACAAUUUUAAGUCCUGUGUUCAAGAGGUCUUACCUCAAGUUCCAUCUUUAUUUAUAUUGUCAGGAUUUUAACUUGAUUCUAGCACAAGAGGACAUUAUUUUGUGCUUCUGUCUACCCAGAAGGAAAUCACAUUAACAUUCCCAAGAAGAAAACUGAAAGUGGUUGUUUAUUUAUCUUAUUAUCAAUGUAUCCUACUUUUCUGAGUCACAAAGAGUAAACAAUUGGCUGGCUACUGUGUAACUAGGCUGGGGAAGAAUUUUUGU
Tyto alba (common barn owl) is the source of this 1615-nucleotide long non-coding RNA. RefSeq lists it as uncharacterized. Lineage: Eukaryota; Metazoa; Chordata; Aves; Strigiformes; Tytonidae. The transcript has 4 exons. The record is from RefSeq and is a predicted model, not a curated record.